Molecule: long non-coding RNA, 3713 nt
Organism: Myotis lucifugus (little brown bat)
Lineage: Eukaryota; Metazoa; Chordata; Mammalia; Chiroptera; Vespertilionidae
Exons: 2
Source: RefSeq, a predicted model, not a curated record
AGGGCGAGCCCCUGUUCUGGGGUCUGGGGGGAGGAGGGCGAGCCCCUGCCCUGGGGUCUAAUGGGGAAGACAGCUGUCUUGGAGGGUGGGGGGAAACCAUGCACAAGGUACGGCCUCCCCCACACACUCAGCUGCCCUGAGAGAACUAGGCCUCCAGUGCUGAGCUAUCUCCCCAUCUCCCCUGUGGGCUCUGCCGGCCCCUGCCAGGUCCCGCCCAGGCUGCUCUGGCGCCGGCCUGGGAAUUCAAUCUGGCUGGAAAGCAAAGGUUGUUUGUUUUCCCUGGUUGCCUUCUCAGCUACCCCGAAACCAUCCCUGGAUCACUUUCCAGGGCAGCCGGGUGUGAUCGGGGCCCUUGGAUGACCUGUGCUGGCCUUGGUCUAACUGGGCCAGCUGUCAUAUGACCCUGCAAAAUCCCAACCCUCUGUGCCCUGCUGGGCCCGGCCCCUCACAGCAUCCGGGAGGGCCCAGGGCCACAUCAAUCCGAACAGCCCCAGGCACCCUGACUGGCUUGGCUCCGGGGAUGGAGCUUCGGCCUGCGGACUGAAGGGUCCUGGAUUUGAUUCGGUCAAGGGCACAUGCCCAGGUUGCGGGCUCGGUCCCCAGUAGGGGGCGUGCAGGAGGCAGCCGAUCAAUGAUUGUCAUCAUUGAUGUUUCUGUCUCUCCCUCUCUGAAAUCAAUAAAAAUAUACCUUAAAAAUAAAAUAAAAAAUGUCAAACAGCCCCAGGCUGAGCUGACAUCAUCUUGGGCUACCAAGGGAACGAAGCCUUACCUAUUCCUGCCUUUUGCUCGCUCCUGGGCGCUGAGAGCCAGGCAUCACCGGAACCCGGGUACCCAGAGGGAUGAGGGACCUUUUGGAGAGACACGUCCCAGCUCCACUGCUUGCCAGCUGGUGGCCCUGAGCAGUAACUUGACCUCUACACUCCCAGAACAUUUCAUCACCCCAAAAGGAGGCCCAGCAGCCACUCCCAGCUCCUGGCAGCCCCUGGCCUGCUUUCCGUCUCUGGAUUUGCCUGUUUAGGACAUUUCAUAGAGAUGGAAUCACAAUAUGUGGCCCUUCAUGUCUGGCUGCUCUUACUCAGUGUGCUGUGUCCAGGGUUCAACCGUGUUGCAGCGGGCGUUAGUGCUUCAUUCCUUUUGAUGGCUGAGCGAUAGUCCACUGUGCAGAUGGACCACGUUUUGUUCAUCCAUUCAUCAGUUUGUGGACCUUUGGUGAUUGUCACUAGUACUGCUGUGAACAUGCAUGUGCAAGGACUUGUUUGAACACCUGUUUUCAAUCCUUUUCGGCCUCCUUACAUGUUGUACUCCCACCCUAGUCCUGGCUAUGAGGCGAGGGGCCCAGCUUCUAGCUCCCCUGACCAGUCCCGGAGUGAGGCCCUCUGCACCGGCAGCCAGCCGGUCCUUCUUGUUCUCUCUCCUGCAUCCUGAGUCCCCAAGGCCUGCCCCAUUCCAGGGAGUUUUAGAAACUGGAGUCCCCGGUAUCCUUAGGAACCUGUGCUGUCCUGGAUCCCGCUGUGAUGGGGUUCCAGCCAUUGCUGCUGGGUGGCCUCACUUCUCGGGCCUCAGUUUCCCCAUCUGUGAGUAGGGUUGUCCUGAAGAUGAACUGAGGACAGGAAAGCACCUGGCCCAUAACAUUUAUUCUCAUCUUAUCCUCUUUGUUGAUAUCCAUCAUGCUCCCCAAGAGCCCACGCUCACUGGGCAUGCUCACGUACAUGGUCUCCUGACCCCACGCCAGGUGCGGAGGAAGUCUGUGCAGCUUCCCAGGGACCCAGGGAGGAGAGGCCAAGGCUGGUGGGACACCCAGGUCUGUGAUCAGCUGGGUCCCUACCCAGGGUCAGGCUUGGGGUCCAGCCAUCCUGCUGGGUGCUGCCCCUUCUCUGCCCAUUGGGAAGAGUCCUAAGGGGGUUUCCUUUGCUGUGGCUGAGCCUCCUCUGCUCCUUGGGCCCGGGAGUCCUCACGUGGCUCAGGAAGGGACAGGCUGGAAAAUUCCUGGGACAUCUGCACAUUGGGGUAGGGGUGGGGGGUCAGACCACCCCCACUCCUGGUGAAAUUUGUAUGUUUGAAGGUUUGUGGGAGACAGUUCCCAGGGCAAACCCCGUCUCCCAUUCCUGCCCUCCCCACCCUCACUCCUGCCACCCCACUCCUUACCCCAAGCCCGGGCUUGGCCACAGCACAUUCAGGUGUGGCUCAAGUGACGUGGAGAUAGUGCGGGCCAGAGUUUAUUUGCAGGAUGGGAGCGGGGCCAGGGCCUCUGGAGACUCCUGGGACUGAGUUAUCCACUCCAAGCCCUGCCAGUUCCACGAGCCCCAGAACCUGGCCAUCAACCCAUCUUUCUCAGCCACCAGGUGCCCCAACUGACAGCAGCACCGGCUGCCAUACAUUGACAACCUACUGUGCACAGGCCCCCGGAAUGGCUUCCACGGAGUCUCAUGGGAGCCCUAGGCAGAGGGAUCGAUUCUGUCCCCAUGUUACAGACAAGGAAACUGAGACACGGAGUGGUGAAGCCCUCACCACGGACCCACAGCCAGGAGUCUGGGUGCAGCCCUGCAGGGCUGCUGUGGCCCUGGGCUUCUCUGAGCUCUGCACACGCAGGUUUCAAAUGCUCACAGACUGGAAGGAGUCGCAGAGACUUGCACUGUCAGCAGCAUGGGGGUUACAGGACCUGGCUCUGAUGCUCAGUACUGGCCGGGGGACCCGUGUCUCCCCUGCAGCAAGUUGUGGCCAUGUCCUGAUCAGUGUGAAAUAAGCAGAAAGGUCCCAAGGCCUCCCAGGAAGACUUUGGAAAGAUGCUGAGCCAGCCCUGGCCUCUGCCUUUCUCUCUGAAUGAGGAUGUGAAGGCUGGAGCCCUGGCAGCCAUUUUGUGCCAUGAGGCAACUUUGAGGGCAAAAGCCAGAGAUGCUACGAACUGAAAGAGAAACCACGCUGUACUGCUACUGUGACCGAUCUCUGCAGACUGCUCUUUCUGCUGCCUGACACCAGCUCUCUGUCCCUGACCCCUGAGCUCACACCAGUGUGGAAUCUUUCCCCAACCCCCCUGGCCUGUGUCCCAGCAUGCUGCGCAUCUCAUGGGUGACCCCUUCCCAGUGCCCCCCACUGACCAACAGUGUCCGGUGCAUGCAGGAUGCAGACAGGCUGCUCUCCCGGACACCCCCCACAGAUGCAGGCAUGGAGGCAGUGGCUGAGGGUCUGAGGGGGUCCCCAGGUUCUGGGCAGAAUGAGUAGGGGAUUUGGUGGUGGGUACCCUGCUGGGGCGGAGCCCUGGGGCUGGCCUUGGAGACUUCAGCGGAGCGGGCAGGGUCAUCUUCGAAGUGCGGUGGGGACAGCUCACGGAGACCCCGGCGGGUGGCCUGGGCAGCCCGGAGCAGCGCGUGGGUCAGCACGGCCACCAGGGCCACGGCGCCCAAGCCGAGGAUGGAGGCGGCUGCUGCUCCCGCCUCGAUCUCGAAUAGCAGCAGAGCAUAGAUGGAUAGUCCUGAGGAAGGAAAUGUUUCUCAUUUACUCAGUCUACAAACAUGUGCUCCCCAAGCCCCGGGAGAGCUUCCCACAGAGGGGCAGUCAUUCAAAACCGUCCAACACGGUAGGCACGUGGAUCAACUGGUCGAUCCUCUCACAGCCCACAAAUAUAUCAUCACGACGUCAAUUUUACUAUAAAAGGGUGAAUUUCGUUAUGUGCACUUCACCACAAUUAAAACAACCCAGAUCUCGGGUUUUCUGAA